GAUCAUGGCUCAGGAUGAACGCUAGCUACAGGGCUUAACACAUGCAAGUCGAGGGGCAGCAUAACGAUAACUUGCUAUUGUUGAUGGCGACCGGCGCACGGGUGAGUAACGCGUAUCCAACCUGCCCUUGUCCAUCGGAUAACCCGUCGAAAGGCGGACUAACACGAUAUGCAGUUCACAGCAGGCAUCUAACGUGAACGAAAUGUGAAGGAAAAGGAUGGGGAUGCGU
RNAcentral lists this ribosomal RNA (229 nucleotides) under uncultured bacterium. Its description in RNAcentral is "partial 16S ribosomal RNA". It matches the Rfam family "Bacterial small subunit ribosomal RNA", at positions 15 to 236 of the family's 1533-position model. The record is from RNAcentral.